UACGAACUGUGCGAACGUUAUUCGGAAUCACUGGGCUUAAAGGGUGCGUAGGCGGGCAGGUAAGUCAGUGGUGAAAUCUCCGAGCUUAACUCGGAAACUGCCGUUGAUACUAUUUGUCUUGAAUAUUGUGGAGGUAAGCGGAAUAUGUCAUGUAGCGGUGAAAUGAUUAGAUAUGACAUAGAACACCAAUUGCGAAGGCAGCUUACUACACAAUGAUUGACGCUGAGGCACGAAAGCGUGGGGAUCAAACAGG
This 253-nucleotide ribosomal RNA is filed under the name uncultured bacterium. RNAcentral describes it as "partial 16S ribosomal RNA". It matches the Rfam family "Bacterial small subunit ribosomal RNA", at positions 524 to 776 of the family's 1533-position model. The record is from RNAcentral.